RNAcentral lists this ribosomal RNA (425 nucleotides) under uncultured bacterium. Its description in RNAcentral is "partial 16S ribosomal RNA". It matches the Rfam family "Bacterial small subunit ribosomal RNA", at positions 354 to 796 of the family's 1533-position model. The record is from RNAcentral.
GUGGGGAAUCUUGCGCAAUGGGCGAAAGCCUGACGCAGCCAUGCCGCGUGAAUGAUGAAGGUCUUAGGAUUGUAAAAUUCUUUCACCGGGGACGAUAAUGAUGGUACCCGGAGAAGAAGCUCCGGCUAACUUCGUGCCAGCAGCCGCGGUAAUACGAAGGGGGCUAGCGUUGCUCGGAAUUACUGGGCGUAAAGGGCGCGUAGGCGGACAGCUUAGUCAGAGGUGAAAGCCCAGGGCUCAACCUUGGAAUUGCCUUUGAUACUGGCUGUCUUGAGUGUGGGAGAGGUGAGUGGAACUCCGAGUGUAGAGGUGAAAUUCGUAGAUAUUCGGAAGAACACCAGUGGCGAAGGCGACUCACUGGCCCAAUACUGACGCUGAGGCGCGAAAGCGUGGGGAGCAAACAGGAUUAGAAACCCGAGUAGUCC